Molecule: ribosomal RNA, 277 nt
Filed under: uncultured bacterium
Lineage: Bacteria
Description: partial 16S ribosomal RNA
Rfam family: Bacterial small subunit ribosomal RNA
Source: RNAcentral
GCAGCCGCGGUAAUACGUAGGGGGCAAGCGUUAUCCGGAUUCAUUGGGCGUAAAGCGCUCGUAGGCGGUCCGUUAGGUCGGGAGUUAAAUCCGGGGGCUCAACCCCCGCCCGCUCCCGAUACCGGCGGACUUGAGUUUGGUAGGGGAAAGUGGAAUUCCCAGUGUAGCGGUGGAAUGCGCAGAUAUUGGGAAGAACACCAGUGGCGAAGGCGGCUUUCUGGGCCACAACUGACGCUGAGGAGCGAAAGCUAGGGGAGCGAACAGGAUUAGAUACCCC